This 5475-nucleotide long non-coding RNA is filed under the name Sus scrofa (pig). RNAcentral's name for it is "lncRNA (ENSSSCG00050042878.1)". Lineage: Eukaryota; Metazoa; Chordata; Mammalia; Artiodactyla; Suidae. The record is from RNAcentral.
CACCCAGUGGAUUAAAGAUCCAGCAUUGCUGCAAGCUGCGGUGUAGUUUGCAUGUGUGGCUCAGAUCUGGUGUUGCCGCAGCUGUGGUGUAGGCCAGCAGUUGCAUCUCUGAUUUGACCCCUAGCCCAGGAAUUUCCAUAUGCCACAGGUGUGGCCCUAAAAGAAAAGAAAAAGAAAAAAGAAGAAACCAAUUUUUGGUGUAUAAAUAGGCUCUUUCUGGUACUGCCAGAAAAAAAAUUAAAAUGCCUACUCUUGGGUUUUCAUUGUUAGUGAAAAUAGAACAAAAAUAAUUGUACUGGAAAACAGGUAAAUUUUUCGUUUUAUUUUAAAAUGAAAGUAUGUAUUUCAAGUGAACUAUUUAAAUUCAAGUAUUUGAAAUUUUAAUUAUAAAGAGGAUUCAAUUCACCUCCACAUCCAUAUGUUGACUAAUUAAUAUUGUCUUUAAAUAAAAGCUUUUGCCAUUAUUUUGAGGAAAGUGAGCUAUUUUUACUACAGGUACUUGUAAAUUAAUUCCUUGGAGAAUAAAACCCUCAAGGUAUUAAACAUGAUACAUGAAUAUUUAAUAGAUAACAAAUAUUUAUAAUGUUUAAACAAGAAAGUAAAUUAGCAUCGAAUUAAAUAAGCAGCUCUGGAUAUUUAUCCCCACUAUUGGAGAGAAUUGUGUAGUUUGGUGUUUCUGUUUGUUGUUGUUUGUCAUCUGUUCUGCCAUCUCAGCUAAACUCAUGAAUUGAGAAGCAGCCUGGGCUUAUUUCCACAACAUUCAGACCUUACUGUGCAUUUACAUUUGCUUACAAUAUGCUUCUCUUUUCUUUCCAAGCGUGGUCAUCUUUCAUUUUCACACCAUAGGGUACUCUGCAAAGCCACUAUAUAUAGUGCCAUCAAAUUGUCAUAGACGGCAAGGUAAAAAAGGAUACUGUCAAAUGCCAUUUUUUAAAACUUCAAUUUUUUUUCUCUCUUCAUUGUUUAUGAUAACCUCCUAGAACCUUGAAAAUAGCUUUUCCUUCUCUGCUGUUUUUUUGUCAUUUGUGUUUGGAAGUCAAUUUUUAUUUUAUUUUUUUUAAGUGAAAAUAGUUAUGUUGCCUCUAACUGAGAAGGAGAAAAAAUUCCAAAGCUCUGUACACUUUCAUUUUCCUCUGUAAUGAAGAUGUUGUCUGUAUUUUUUAUUGGAUUAUUUUGGUGGAGUUUAUGAGAAGAAUUAGGAAAGCAGUUAUUAAGAGCAUGGCCUCUGAUGUCUUACUGCUUGGGUUCAGAUAUUGGCCCAAGCAGUUUACUAGCUGAGAGUGGAGAUGUAACUUGGGGACAAUUACACCAUCUCUCUGUUCCUCUACGUUCUCAUCUGUAAAAUUGGAAUUUACGUAACAGUACUGACUCGCAAAGUUAUUAUGAAGAUUUAAUGAGUCAAUGUUUGUAAAAUAUUGGCUAGGAUAUAGUAAAUGGUAUGUGUUCUUAAAUAAAAACAAAUAUUUCCCCCUCCUCCAAUUUUACUACACUCCUCCUUUGUCUUCAUGGUAUGACUUAGUGGGACACAGAAUUCACAUUUCUUCACAAACUCCUCCUCAGAGAAGUAGAGCCCUUAAUUAAACUGUAGGUCAUUUUUGAAAUUUAAUCUUCUCAAGAGUUGAAAUGCAUCAGUUUGCCAUUCAUCCCUGUGCUUUGGUUGAGAGAAGACAUUAUUAAGAGGUUAAACUAUAUUUUUCCAUACAUCGAUUCCAACUAACUCAUAACAUGUCUUCAUUUUGAUUUAGAGGGAGCUGCACUCAUGUUCUUGUGAAGAACUUUUAGUUUAAAAUUUCACAAGUACUAGGUAUGUAAACUUGAAAGCACACACAUUUUCAAAGAUGAUUCUAGGAGAUAUAACUUUAUUCUUCAAAAAGAAAAAAAAGUCCCAGUGAGCAUGAGAGUAUGUAAAUGUGUAUUUAGAAAAUUGGUUAUAAACCUUCAGGCCUUAAUAUAUUUCUUUUAUCUAAACAGAGUUAAAAUGAGUCAUUUUUGAAACCUAGGAGAUCAGGGGUAGUUUAUCUUACAUAGAAGGCAACAACAGAGAAAGCAUGAUCUCUUGACUGAGGGAAUGUGGGGGCAUUUCAGUGUGUGGAGACCAUUUUCAGUAAUCAGAAGGUUACACAGGAUAGGUUGUUUACUUCAUUGAAGACAUAAUAUCCUGGAUGACAACUGUCUUAGUCAGUUCCGGUUGCCAAAUUACUAUACACUGGGUGGCUUAAACAACAAACAUUUAUUUCUCACAGUUCUGGACAUGGAGAAGCCCCCGAUCAAAGUGCCAGCACAUCUGGUGUUUGAUGAGAGCCUGUUUCCGGGUGUGCAGAUGGCCACCUAUUCGCUGUGUUCUUAGUUACAAGGAGACAGUAAGGAGGAACAAGCUCUCUUGUGUCUCUUCAUGUAAAGACACUAAUCCCAGCACUAGGGCGCCACUCUCGUGACCUCAGUACCUGCCAAAGACCUCAUCUCCUCAGACCAUCAUGUUGGGGAUUUAGAGCUUUAACACAGAAAUUUUUGUGGGGGACACAAAGCUUUAGUUGAUAGCAGAAACUUUUACACUCCGCUGAAAUACAGAAGUCUGCAAAGCUGAAGUAGCUUAACCCAACAUCUUCUCACAGGGCAAAGUCAUAGUAAAUGUAAACUUCUGAAGAUUAGUAAUGACAUGGCUGAGGAUGUAUAUUUACUUUCAGAAAAAGAAAUCAUCUAGAAAUUAAGGACAGUGGUUAAUGAACUGAAGUUCAUAUGUUGGCCAGUGAACAAUGAGAAUUUUAAAAGCAGAUAACUUUCCAGAUUAUUUAAAUGUUGUGUUCAUGGGUAACACUUACUCUAUUAAUUACGUUUAUAUAUAAGUUUCAUGAUUAUUCAUUUGGGGUCAGUGCUCUGGCUUUCCUGACUUGAAGUCCUUUGUUUCAUGUUGGAUUUUUUUUUUUAAAUGGCCACAUUUGUGGCAUAUGGAAGCUCCCAGACUAGAGGUUGAAUUGGAGCUGUAGCUACCCGCCUACACACCACAGCCACAGCAGCACUGUAUCUGUGUGGCAUCUGUGACCUAUGCUGCAUCUUGCAAACAGCGCCGGACCCUUAAUCCACUGAGUGAGGCCAGGGAUCAAACCUGAAUCUUCACGGACACUAUGUUGUGCACCACAGCAGGAACUCCCAAGAGUUUGUUUUGUAAGUGAAGUCUGAUGGGAUAAUGGAGCCUGCCGUAGAACUGGAAGCCUUGGUUCAGAUGACUGCCUCCUUGGGGUGAGGUCUCUUCUGCUUUCCACUGCUUACUUCCCCUCCUCCAGGGACUCAAAAGGCCUGGACUCUUAUCCCCUGCUCCUGCCCCACAACUGCUUCUGUCUUUAGGCCCUGGAAGGAGGGUGUUUCAGGGUGUACAAGAGGUGAGGAUGUUUCGGGACAUGGCGUUGAUGUGGCCAUCCACAUGCCAGAGUGUUACAACGAUGUCUCAGCAGAUUGAACCUCUCACCCAUCCCAGUUUGGGUACCUGGGAUCUAGCUACCUGCUUGCAUAGAGUUUGCAGUGCUUCUGGGGUCAGAGGGUUGGGUUGGUGUACCUGUGUAAAGGAAGAUGCCUGACUUUCCCUCCCCAGUUGGUGCGCAGAGGGCUGGUCUGUGGCUGGAGGGAGGGAGAGCUCGUUACUUGGUGUGUGGGCUGUUAGUGUGCGCUGUGGGGACACACGUAGGGUGGUACAUAAACGUGCACUCACCCUGCAGGCAUCCCUGUGCCUGAAGGAUGGAAACAAUGAGUAGCAGGUAAACAACACUGUGGCAAGUUGGGAGAAACUGCAGGCAAAGGGAAGAUCUUGCUAUUUUUAGUACCUUUUGUGGAAGCUUUCCUCUGCCUUUUUUAAAUAAAUUUUUUUUUUUUUUAUUUUAGGGCUGCAUCCAUGGCAUAUGGAGGUUCCCAGGCUAGGGGUCGAAUCAGAGUUGUAGCUGCCAGCCUAUGCCACAGCCACAGCAACACCAGAUCCGAGCCGUGUCUGCAAGCUACACCACAGCCUCCUGCAAUGCCAUAUCCUCAACCCAAUGAGCGAGGCCAGGGAUUGAACCCAUGUCCUCAUGGUUGCUAGUCAGAUUUGUUUCUGCUGAGCCAUGAUUGGAAGUCCUCCUCUGCCUUUUGAACAGGGGGCCCCAGGCCCUACUUUUUCAUCUUUCACGGGGCCCUACAAAUUAUGGAGCCCAUACUGAUAGGCAUAGUGUUAACUUUAGCAGUCAUGUACUGUACACAGUGCCCACUUGUUUCCACUACAUCAUCCUAUAUUUGCUUCAAAUUUCAGUGACAUAAUAAGAAGAUAUUCAGUGAGACUGUGUGGGGACUAGAGCAGCACAAAACCCGUAAUGAUAUAAAUAUGUGGUGGAAAAUUACAAUAAAACCCUUGCAUCUUCCACUUUAAUUUUGCCUCAAGGAAAUGGCAAAAUGCCCAGCUGGCACUAACCAGUUCCAAAUGAGCUGCCAAAACUGCUAGGUGCUGAAAUACAUAGUUUGUUGCUCUUCCCCAUUUUGGUGCUUGACUAUAGGUUUUGAGGUUGGUGUUUCAAAGCCAGAGCAGGUGUCUGCCACCUGGAAACAUUUUCUUGAGUGCCUUGCUAAUAUCAACACAAUGAGACCUAUUGAAGUGUAUUUUUACAUAACACUGAGACUGCUUUACAUGUGUAUACAUGUCUAUUGAAAGACAAUCAUAAAUAGGCCUAAAAUGUUUUCAUCUGGAAUCCAAAGGGAUAUGAUUUGUGUCUUGGAACAAUGAAGGAUUCUUUAAAAAAGGAACAUGCUGGUAGAAAACAUUCAGAUAAAAUUAAAGUAUUUGAAAAGUUUGUAAAUGUAAGUUGAAGUACUAGCACAACAAAAUUAGAUUGCUUCACCUUCAGAGCCUUACAGAUAGAGGUACGUGGUAGCUAUCAGAUAGUAGUGCUCAUGGGGCAUGAGGAAUAAAUACAGUUGUUGGGGCAGAUUUCCAUCUCAGAGGCCAAAGGACCUCUCUUGUUUCAUUUGAAAAAAGUACCUACAUUUUGCUAUUUGUAAAUGCAUUUCUCUGUCAGAUCCUUUUAGGACACUAAAGGGCAGUUCCUUCUCUCCAGUGAAGACUUUUCGUUUCCUUAAGUCAGUGCUAGAGUUUUCCAUGAGUAUUUCUGCAUAUAUAUUAUAUUAGGGUUCAGUGAAUGUCAGAAGUUUCCGAGGUCAGUUUUUGUCUUAGUGCUUGUCUGAACAAUCUGAACUUUUUCCAGGACUCAUCUAACCAAACAACUGCUUUGUUUAUAGUUCUGCCUGACCUGAAGUAUACUCUGCAUAAUGUGCUGGUCGUUUUCUGAUUCAGACUACAUACUUCAGACUGGGUACACUCAGCACAUUUCUUCCCCAGCAACGUGAAGGCCAGGCAGAGAGGGCGCAUUGAAAUCUAGGCUUAAUAAAGCAUGUAUUUUCAUCAUUUGUUUUACAUCCUAAUCGCCUUAGUCCAAACCUAUUUCUAGAACCGCAAAUAAG